This 671-nucleotide ribosomal RNA is filed under the name uncultured bacterium. RNAcentral describes it as "bacterial SSU rRNA". It matches the Rfam family "Bacterial small subunit ribosomal RNA", at positions 63 to 710 of the family's 1533-position model. The record is from RNAcentral.
CGAACGAAAAAGGGGGCUUCGGUCCCUGAGUAGAGCGGCGCACGGGUGAGUAACGCGUGGAUAAUCUACCCAUAAGCCUGGGAUAACAGCGAGAAAUUGCUGCUAAUACCGGAUAAGUUUAUGUGCUGUAGGGGCAGGUGGGAAAAGGCGGUCUCUGGAACAAGCUGCCGUUUAUGGAUGAGUCCGCGUCCCAUUAGCUAGUUGGUGGGGUAAAGGCCUACCAAGGCGACGAUGGGUAGCCGGCCUGAGAGGGUGGCCGGCCAUACUGGAACUGGAACACGGUCCAGACUCCUACGGGAGGCAGCAGUGGGGAAUAUUGCGCAAUGGGCGCAAGCCUGACGCAGCAACGCCGCGUGAGGGAAGAAGGUUUUCGGAUCGUAAACCUCUGUCGGGAGGGAAGAACGGCUUGGGGCUGAACAGGCCCUGGGAUUGACGGUACCUCCAAAGGAAGCACCGGCUAACUCCGUGCCAGCAGCCGCGGUAAUACGGAGGGUGCGAGCGUUAUUCGGAAUUACUGGGCGUAAAGGGCGUGUAGGCGGCCUUGCAAGUCAGUUGUGAAAUCCCACGGCUUACCGUGGAACUGCAUUUGAAACUGCAAGGCUAGGAGUGCGGGAGAGGGCGGCGGAAUUCCCGGUGUAGGGGUGAAAUCCGUAGAUAUCGGAAGGAACACC